GAUGAACGCUGGCGGCGUGCCUAAUACAUGCAAGUCGAGCGAACAGACGAGGAGCUUGCUCCUCUGACGUUAGCGGCGGACGGGUGAGUAACACGUGGAUAACCUACCUAUAAGACUGGGAUAACUUCGGGAAACCGGAGCUAAUACCGGAUAAUAUAUUGAACCGCAUGGUUCAAUAGUGAAAGACGGUUUUGCUGUCACUUAUAGAUGGAUCCGCGCCGCAUUAGCUAGUUGGUAAGGUAACGGCUUACCAAGGCAACGAUGCGUAGCCGACCUGAGAGGGUGAUCGGCCACACUGGAACUGAGACACGGUCCAGGCUCCUACGGGAGGCAGCAGUAGGGAAUCUUCCGCAAUGGGCGAAAGCCUGACGGAGCAACGCCGAGUGAGUGAUGAAGGUCUUCGGAUCGUAAAACUCUGUUAUUAGGGAAGAACAAAUGUGUAAGUAACUAUGCACGUCUUGACGGUACCUAAUCAGAAAGCCACGGCUAACUACGUG
This 497-nucleotide ribosomal RNA is filed under the name uncultured bacterium. RNAcentral describes it as "partial 16S ribosomal RNA". It matches the Rfam family "Bacterial small subunit ribosomal RNA", at positions 28 to 507 of the family's 1533-position model. The record is from RNAcentral.